Molecule: ribosomal RNA, 108 nt
Filed under: Pteropus alecto (black flying fox)
Lineage: Eukaryota; Metazoa; Chordata; Mammalia; Chiroptera; Pteropodidae
Source: RNAcentral
CUCUAUGGGCAUGCCACCCUGAGCGUGCCCAAUCCCAUCUGAUCUGGAAAGUUAAGCAGGGUCGGGCCUGGUUGGGAGACCACCUAGGAAGACCAGGUACUGUAGGUG